This 1106-nucleotide long non-coding RNA is filed under the name Dromaius novaehollandiae (emu). RNAcentral describes it as "lncRNA (ENSDNVG00000001749.1)". Lineage: Eukaryota; Metazoa; Chordata; Aves; Casuariiformes; Dromaiidae. The record is from RNAcentral.
AGCUUAAAUUAAAGCACAUGUAUAAGUGCUGACCUAAAGAGAGAUGUAUUUAUGCAUCUGUUUAUGGGGUUUAUAAGAGUUUAAGGACCAUGGUUGUUUACCUCUAUUGAAUUAUUUUGUUUUAUAUCUUGUUCUGCCAUCUGCUGUAGAAAUAUCCGUGUACAGGAAUGAUACUUGUGCCUGGGUGGGACUCUGCAAAAGCCUGAAGAUAAGUUGGUAGGCUAAAGUUUAACUGUAAAUGUAUUGUGACAAAAGCUGUAAGUAAAAUCCUAAUCUUGUUAAGAAGAUUAAUUUUACUGUUUGUCUUUGCACAUAUUAUAUGUCUUUAUUUCACUCUAAAUGGAACUCAGUCAUGACUAAGGACAGCAUCUGGAUGCUGUUCUGGAGCAAACAUUAAUGAGAACACAUUUUUUCAUAAAGAUUGUCUGAUUGAGGCUGCUUUUUGUCAGUGGUAAGGAUAGUCGAGUCCUGUAGAGCUGUUUAAUUAGAAAGCAAGAGAACAAUUGGAAAUCAAUAUGAUCCAACUGAAAUGAUUCUAAAAACUUUUAGAAAGUAAUGGAAUAUUAUAAAUCACUCAAAAUUCCAUAAAUUUGGUAAAAAAAAGGUUUUUAAAUCUGCUCUAUGUUAAAUCCUGUAGAACAUUUCCAUUAGGUGCAGAGUUUGUCAUAUCUGUGGAAUGAUUUAACUCAUGUCUAUUAACAUUGAUAAAACAUUGAGAUAAGCAAGAUGACUGUUAUUUUUGAUACAGAAGAGCAGGUAAUUAUAUCUCUAUCUACAUGACUAUACAUAACUGUUAAACUUUUUUCAGGACAGAGUUACGGCUAUGAAACUUAUUCUAACAACUUUCUCCAUCUUCACGUAAGUAGCUUUUAUUUUAGUAAGUCAAAUUGUUUAACCGAAUCAUGUUAUAUGUUCUGAUUUUUUUCCUGAGGGUUCCAGAUCAUUGUCUAUUGGUUCUUAGGACACAACCAGAAAUACUGGAACAUAAAGAGUUUUUAUUAACAAGGCAAAUGGAAGGUUAUCCCUGAUUCACCCAAGGAAAUACUCUGCACCUCUUCUCAAAACUCACGAAUAAAUUUCUCUCCAUCUGGUAAGUGGUAAGUUAC